This 870-nucleotide ribosomal RNA is filed under the name uncultured Bacillota bacterium. RNAcentral describes it as "bacterial SSU rRNA". It matches the Rfam family "Bacterial small subunit ribosomal RNA", at positions 1 to 880 of the family's 1533-position model. The record is from RNAcentral. Lineage: Bacteria; Bacillati; Bacillota.
UGGAUCCAGACUUUGAUUAUGGCUCAGGACGAACGCUGGCGGCGUGCUUAACACAUGCAAGUCGAGCGGGGACAAAAGACUUCGGUUUUUUGUUCUAGCGGCGGACGGGUGAGUAACGCGUGAACAAUCUGUCCCAGACAGGGGGAUAACACUUGGAAACAGGUGCUAAUACCGCAUAAGACCACGACCUGGCAUCGGGUUGAGGUAAAAGGAGCAAUCCGGUUUGGGGUGAGUUCGCGUCCGAUUAGCUAGUUGGCGAGGUAACGGCCCACCAAGGCGACGAUCGGUAGCCGACCUGAGAGGGUGAUCGGCCACAUUGGAACUGAGAGACGGUCCAAACUCCUACGGGAGGCAGCAGUGGGGAAUAUUGGGCAAUGGGCGAGAGCCUGACCCAGCAACGCCGCGUGAGGGAAGAGGGUUUUCGGAUUGUAAACCUCUGUCCUUGGUGACGAAGGAAGUGACGGUAGCCAAGGAGGAAGCCCCGGCUAACUACGUGCCAGCAGCCGCGGUAAUACGUAGGGGGCAAGCGUUGUCCGGAAUGACUGGGCGUAAAGGGCGUGUAGGCGGCCUGAUAAGUGUGAAGUGAAAGUCCUGCUUUUAAGGUGGGAAUUGCUUUGCAGACUGUCGGGCUUGAGUGCGGAAGAGGUAAGUGGAAUUCCCAGUGUAGCGGUGAAAUGCGUAGAGAUUGGGAGGAACACCAGUGGCGAAGGCGACUUACUGGGCCGUAACUGACGCUGAGGCGCGAAAGCGUGGGGAGCGAACAGGAUUAGAUACCCUGGUAGUCCACGCUGUAAACGAUGAAUGCUAGGUGUAGGGGGUAUCGACCCCUCCUGUGCCGGAGUAAACGCAAUAAGCAUUCCGCCUGGGGAA